GACGAACGCUGGCGGCGUGCUUAACACAUGCAAGUCGAACGGAAAGGCCCUGCUUUUGUGGGGUGCUCGAGUGGCGAACGGGUGAGUAACACGUGAGUAACCUGCCCUUGACUUUGGGAUAACUUCAGGAAACUGGGGCUAAUACCGGAUAGGAGCUCCUGCUGCAUGGUGGGGGUUGGAAAGUUUCGGCGGUUGGGGAUGGACUCGCGGCUUAUCAGCUUGUUGGUGGGGUAGUGGCUUACCAAGGCUUUGACGGGUAGCCGGCCUGCGAGGGUGACCGGGCAAAUUGGGAAUGAGAUACGGACCAGAAUGGUACGGGAGGCAGCAGUGGGGAAUAUUGCACAAAGGGCGGAAGGCUGAUGCAGCAACGCCGGGUGCGGGAUGACGGCCUUCGGGGUGUAAAACGCUUUCGCCUGUGACGAAGCGUGAGUGACGGUAAUGGGUAAAGAAGCACCGGCUAAAUACGUG
This 468-nucleotide ribosomal RNA is filed under the name uncultured bacterium. Its description in RNAcentral is "partial 16S ribosomal RNA". It matches the Rfam family "Bacterial small subunit ribosomal RNA", at positions 28 to 507 of the family's 1533-position model. The record is from RNAcentral.